UACAGAGGGUGCGAGCGUUGUUCGGAAUUAUUGGGCUUAAAGGGCGCGUAGGCGGCGCCACAAGUCACCUGUGAAAACUCUGGGCUCAACCCAGAGCCUGCAGGCGAAACUGUGGUGCUGGAGUAUGGGAGAGGUGCGUGGAAUUCCCGGUGUAGCGGUGAAAUGCGUAGAUAUCAAGUGGAACACCAGUGGCGAAGGCGAGUCUCUGGACAUUUCCUGACGCUGAGGCACGAAAGCUGGGGGAGCAAACGGG
Molecule: ribosomal RNA, 253 nt
Filed under: uncultured bacterium
Lineage: Bacteria
Description: partial 16S ribosomal RNA
Rfam family: Bacterial small subunit ribosomal RNA
Source: RNAcentral